UACGUAGGGGGGCAAGCGUUGUCCGGAAUCAUUGGGCGUAAAGCGCGUGUAGGCGGCUUGGUAAGUCCGCUCUGAAAGCCCGGGGCUCAACCCCCGGGAGGCGGGUGGAUACUGUCAAGCUCGAGUCCGGAAGAGGCGAGUGGAAUUCCUGGUGUAGCGGUGAAAUGCGCAGAUAUCAGGAGGAACACCAGCGGCGAAGGCGCUGCUCUGGGCCGGUACUGACGCUGAGGAGCGAAAGCGUGGGGAGCGAACAGG
Molecule: ribosomal RNA, 255 nt
Filed under: uncultured bacterium
Lineage: Bacteria
Description: partial 16S ribosomal RNA
Rfam family: Bacterial small subunit ribosomal RNA
Source: RNAcentral